RNAcentral lists this ribosomal RNA (400 nucleotides) under uncultured bacterium. RNAcentral describes it as "bacterial SSU rRNA". It matches the Rfam family "Bacterial small subunit ribosomal RNA", at positions 355 to 753 of the family's 1533-position model. The record is from RNAcentral.
UGGGGAAUAUUGCACAAUGGGCGGAAGCCUGAUGCAGCGACGCCGCGUGGGGGAUGACGGCCUUCGGGUUGUAAACUCCUUUCGACCGCGAGGAAGCCGCCUGGUUGGAAGGGUGGUGACGGUAGUGGUAGAAGAAGCACCGGCUAACUACGUGCCAGCAGCCGCGGUAAUACGUAGGGUGCGAGCGUUGUCCGGAUUUACUGGGCGUAAAGAGCUCGUAGGUGGCUUGUCGCGUCGUCUGUGAAAGUCUGGGGCUUAACUCCGGGUGUGCAGGCGAUACGGGCUGGCUUGAGUGCUGUAGGGGAGACUGGAAUUCCUGGUGUAGCGGUGGAAUGCGCAGAUAUCAGGAGGAACACCGAUGGCGAAGGCAGGUCUCUGGGCAGCCACUGACGCUGAGGAG